This 538-nucleotide ribosomal RNA is filed under the name Bifidobacterium dentium. RNAcentral's name for it is "bacterial SSU rRNA". It matches the Rfam family "Bacterial small subunit ribosomal RNA", at positions 160 to 707 of the family's 1533-position model. The record is from RNAcentral. Lineage: Bacteria; Bacillati; Actinomycetota; Actinomycetes; Bifidobacteriales; Bifidobacteriaceae.
GUGGUAAUGCCGGAUGCUCCGGUUGGAUGCAUGUCCUUCCGGGAAAGGUUCCAUCGGUAUGGGAUGGGGUCGCGUCCUAUCAGCUUGAUGGCGGGGUAACGGCCCACCAUGGCUUCGACGGGUAGCCGGCCUGAGAGGGCGACCGGCCACAUUGGGACUGAGAUACGGCCCAGACUCCUACGGGAGGCAGCAGUGGGGAAUAUUGCACAAUGGGCGCAAGCCUGAUGCAGCGACGCCGCGUGCGGGAUGGAGGCCUUCGGGUUGUAAACCGCUUUUGAUCGGGAGCAAGCCCUUCGGGGUGAGUGUACCUUUCGAAUAAGCACCGGCUAACUACGUGCCAGCAGCCGCGGUAAUACGUAGGGUGCAAGCGUUAUCCGGAAUUAUUGGGCGUAAAGGGCUCGUAGGCGGUUCGUCGCGUCCGGUGUGAAAGCCCAUCGCUUAACGGUGGGUCUGCGCCGGGUACGGGCGGGCUGGAGUGCGGUAGGGGAGACUGGAAUUCCCGGUGUAACGGUGGAAUGUGUAGAUAUCGGAAAAGAAC